GCUUGUCUCAAAGAUUAAGCCAUGCAUGUCUAAGUAUAAACAACUUUAUACUGUGAAACUGCGAAUGGCUCAUUAAAUCAGUUAUAGUUUAUUUGAUAGUACUUACUACUUGGAUAACCGUGGUAAUUCUAGAGCUAAUACAUGCGAAAAGACCCGACUUCUGGAAGGGUUGUAUUUAUUAGAUAAAAAACCAAUGGGGGCAACCUCUUUGUGGUGAUUCAUAAUAACUUUGCGAAUCGCAUGGCCUUGUGCCGGCGAUGAAUCAUUCAAAUUUCUGCCCUAUCAACUUUCGAUGGUAAGGUAUUGGCUUACCAUGGUUGCAACGGGUGACGGGGAAUUAGGGUUCGAUUCCGGAGAGGGAGCCUGAGAAAUGGCUACCACAUCCAAGGAAGGCAGCAGG
This 400-nucleotide ribosomal RNA is filed under the name uncultured Choanoflagellida. RNAcentral describes it as "partial small subunit ribosomal RNA". It matches the Rfam family "Eukaryotic small subunit ribosomal RNA", at positions 30 to 432 of the family's 1831-position model. Lineage: Eukaryota; Choanoflagellata. The record is from RNAcentral.